GUAGAGUGCAAGCGUUGUCCGGAUUUAUUGGGCGUAAAGCGUUUCGUAGGCGUCUUGAAAAGUCGUGUUUCAAAUCCCAGGGCUCAACCUUGGAAAGGGGCACGACACUCUCGGGAUUGAAAGGUUUUGGGGCUACUGGAACUGUCGGUGUAGGGGUGAAAUCCGUUGAUAUCGAUAGGAACACCAAGGGCGAAGGCGGGUAGCUAGGAACACUUUGACGCUGAGGAACGAAAGCUAGGGGAGCGAAAGGGAUUAGAGACCCCCGUAGUCCUAGCCGUAAACGAUGCUCGCUAGGGAUGUGUCCUUUUAGGAUGCGUCUCGUAAGCUAACGCGUUAAGCGAGCCGCCUGGGGAGUACGAUCGCAAGAUUAA
Molecule: ribosomal RNA, 371 nt
Filed under: uncultured organism
Description: partial 16S ribosomal RNA
Rfam family: Bacterial small subunit ribosomal RNA
Source: RNAcentral